GGCCCCGUCGUCUAGCGGUUCAGGACACCUGGUUCUCAUCCAGGAGAUCAUCGGUUCAAAUCCGAUCGGGGUCACCA
Molecule: transfer RNA, 77 nt
Filed under: bacterium
Lineage: Bacteria
Description: tRNA-Glu
Rfam family: tRNA
About the family: Transfer RNA (tRNA) molecules are approximately 80 nucleotides in length. Their secondary structure includes four short double-helical elements and three loops (D, anti-codon, and T loops).
Source: RNAcentral